CGAAUGCUGACAUAAGUAACGAUAAAGCGGGUGAAAAGCCCGCUCGCCGGAAGACCAAGGGUUCCUGUCCAACGUUAAUCGGGGCAGGGUGAGUCGACCCCUAAGGCGAGGCCGAAAGGCGUAGUCGAUGGGAAACAGGUUAAUAUUCCUGUACUUGGUGUUACUGCGAAGGGGGGACGGAGAAGGCUAUGUUGGCCGGGCGACGGUUGUCCCGGUUUAAGCGUGUAGGCUGGUUUUCCAGGCAAAUCCGGAAAAUCAAGGCUGAGGCGUGAUGACGAGGCACUACGGUGCUGAAGCAACAAAUGCCCUGCUUCCAGGAAAAGCCUCUAAGCAUCAGGUAACAUCAAAUCGUACCCCAAACCGACACAGGUGGUCAGGUAGAGAAUACCAAGGCGCUUGAGAGAACUCGGGUGAAGGAACUAGGCAAAAUGGUGCCGUAACUUCGGGAGAAGGCACGCUGAUAUGUAGGUGAAGUCCCUCGCGGAUGGAGCUGAAAUCAGUCGAAGAUACCAGCUGGCUGCAACUGUUUAUUAAAAACACAGCACUGUGCAAACACGAAAGUGGACGUAUACGGUGUGACGCCUGCCCGGUGCCGGAAGGUUAAUUGAUGGGGUCAGCGCAAGCGAAGCUCUUGAUCGAAGCCCCGGUAAACGGCGGCCGUAACUAUAACGGUCCUAAGGUAGCGAAAUUCCUUGUCGGGUAAGUUCCGACCUGCACGAAUGGCGUAAUGAUGGCCAGGCUGUCUCCACCCGAGACUCAGUGAAAUUGAACUCGCUGUGAAGAUGCAGUGUACCCGCGGCAAGACGGAAAGACCCCGUGAACCUUUACUAUAGCUUGACACUGAACAUUGAGCCUUGAUGUGUAGGAUAGGUGGGAGGCUUUGAAGUGUGGACGCCAGUCUGCAUGGAGCCGACCUUGAAAUACCACCCUUUAAUGUUUGAUGUUCUAACGUGGACCCGUGAUCCGGGUUGCGGACAGUGUCUGGUGGGUAGUUUGACUGGGGCGGUCUCCUCCUAAAGAGUAACGGAGGAGCACGAAGGUUGGCUAAUCCUGGUCGGACAUCAGGAGGUUAGUGCAAUGGCAUAAGCCAGCUUGACUGCGAGCGUGACGGCGCGAGCAGGUGCGAAAGCAGGUCAUAGUGAUCCGGUGGUUCUGAAUGGAAGGGCCAUCGCUCAACGGAUAAAAGGUACUCCGGGGAUAACAGGCUGAUACCGCCCAAGAGUUCAUAUCGACGGCGGUGUUUGGCACCUCGAUGUCGGCUCAUCACAUCCUGGGGCUGAAGUAGGUCCCAAGGGUAUGGCUGUUCGCCAUUUAAAGUGGUACGCGAGCUGGGUUUAGAACGUCGUGAGACAGUUCGGUCCCUAUCUGCCGUGGGCGCUGGAGAACUGAGGGGGGCUGCUCCUAGUACGAGAGGACCGGAGUGGACGCAUCACUGGUGUUCGGGUUGUCAUGCCAAUGGCACUGCCCGGUAGCUAAAUGCGGAAGAGAUAAGUGCUGAAAGCAUCUAAGCACGAAACUUGCCCCGAGAUGAGUUCUCCCUGACCCUUUAAGGGUCCUGAAGGAACGUUGAAGACGACGACGUUGAUAGGCCGGGUGU
Molecule: ribosomal RNA, 1597 nt
Filed under: Escherichia coli
Lineage: Bacteria; Pseudomonadati; Pseudomonadota; Gammaproteobacteria; Enterobacterales; Enterobacteriaceae
Description: partial 23S ribosomal RNA
Rfam family: Bacterial large subunit ribosomal RNA
Source: RNAcentral